CUGGCGCGGCCUCAGAACCAAAGCCAGUGGGCUGGGAAAGGGGGAGAGGAGCACGGACUCAUGUGACUGUUUGGCCAAAGUGGCUGGAAGGCAGCAGGCGUCAUCUAAGGUAGCAGGGUGAAAUCCUCCGAGGCUGGUCGACAUAAAACAACCUUUGAGAUAACUCUGAAAUAGGAAGAAUGGAUGGAAUGAUGUACAUAUAACAGAUGAAGAAACUGAGGUUCAAAGACAAUAAGAUGAAUUGCCCACAGGGAUUGUCAGCAAUCCCCGUAUGGAGACUGGGUCUUGCUAUGAUGCUUCCCUCUAGCUAUGAAGAUGUUGAAAGAACUUUGUAAAGAGAACCUUACUAUUCUCCCAUCAAGAGAUAGAAUCUAUAGCUACUUGGGAGGCCGAGGCAGAGGAUUGCAAGUUCAAGGCCGGCACGGGUAACGUAAUGAGUUUCGUCUCAAAAUAAAACAAAACAAAAAAAAGGGCUGAAGAUGUAGCUCAGUGACAGAGCAUUUGCCUAGUAUGCAGAAAGCCCUGGGUUCAAUUCCCAGUAUUGGGGGUGGCGAGAUUAGUAGUGGAGA
Molecule: non-coding RNA, 569 nt
Organism: Marmota flaviventris (yellow-bellied marmot)
Lineage: Eukaryota; Metazoa; Chordata; Mammalia; Rodentia; Sciuridae
Source: RefSeq, a predicted model, not a curated record